UCAGAUUGAACGCUGGCGGCAGGCUUAACACAUGCAAGUCGAGCGGAAACGAUGGUAGCUUGCUACCAGGCGUCGAGCGGCGGACGGGUGAGUAAUACUUAGGAAUCUACCUAGUAGUGGGGGAUAGCACGGGGAAACUCGUAUUAAUACCGCAUACGACCUACGGGAGAAAGGGGGCAGUUUACUGCUCUCGCUAUUAGAUGAGCCUAAGUCGGAUUAGCUAGAUGGUGGGGUAAAGGCCUACCAUGGCGACGAUCUGUAGCUGGUCUGAGAGGAUGAUCAGCCACACCGGGACUGAGACACGGCCCGGACUCCUACGGGAGGCAGCAGUGGGGAAUAUUGGACAAUGGGGGAAACCCUGAUCCAGCCAUGCCGCGUGUGUGAAGAAGGCCUUUUGGUUGUAAAGCACUUUAAGCAGUGAAGAAGACUCUUCGGUUAAUACCCGGAGACGAUGACAUUAGCUGCAGAAUAAGCACCGGCUAACUCUGUGCCAGCAGCCGCGGUAAUACAGAGGGUGCAAGCGUUAAUCGGAAUUACUGGGCGUAAAGCGAGCGUAGGUGGCUUGAUAAGUCAGAUGUGAAAUCCCCGGGCUUAACCUGGGAACUGCAUCUGAAACUGUUAGGCUAGAGUAGGUGAGAGGGAAGUAGAAUUUCAGGUGUAGCGGUGAAAUGCGUAGAGAUCUGAAGGAAUACCGAUGGCGAAGGCAGCUUCCUGGCAUCAUACUGACACUGAGGCUCGAAAGCGUGGGUAGCAAACAGGAUUAGAUACCCUGGUAGUCCACGCCGUAAACGAUGUCUACUAGUCGUUGGGUCCCUUGAGGACUUAGUGACGCAGCUAACGCAAUAAGUAGACCGCCUGGGGAGUACGGCCGCAAGGUUAAAACUCAAAUGAAUUGACGGGGGCCCGCACAAGCGGUGGAGCAUGUGGUUUAAUUCGAUGCAACGCGAAGAACCUUACCUGGUCUUGACAUAUCUAGAAUCCUGCAGAGAUGCGGGAGUGCCUUCGGGAAUUAGAAUACAGGUGCUGCAUGGCUGUCGUCAGCUCGUGUCGUGAGAUGUUGGGUUAAGUCCCGCAACGAGCGCAACCCUUGUCCUUAGUUACCAGCGGGUUAAGCCGGGAACUCUAAGGAUACUGCCAGUGACAAACUGGAGGAAGGCGGGGACGACGUCAAGUCAUCAUGGCCCUUACGACCAGGGCUACACACGUGCUACAAUGGUAGGUACAGAGGGCAGCUACACAGCGAU
RNAcentral lists this ribosomal RNA (1244 nucleotides) under Psychrobacter sp. RNAcentral's name for it is "bacterial SSU rRNA". It matches the Rfam family "Bacterial small subunit ribosomal RNA", at positions 24 to 1261 of the family's 1533-position model. The record is from RNAcentral. Lineage: Bacteria; Pseudomonadati; Pseudomonadota; Gammaproteobacteria; Moraxellales; Moraxellaceae.